This 71-nucleotide transfer RNA is filed under the name Camelus bactrianus (Bactrian camel). It matches the Rfam family "tRNA". From Rfam's summary of the family: Transfer RNA (tRNA) molecules are approximately 80 nucleotides in length. Lineage: Eukaryota; Metazoa; Chordata; Mammalia; Artiodactyla; Camelidae. RNAcentral also lists the same sequence under 3 other names. The record is from Rfam by way of RNAcentral.
AAGGUAAUAGCUCAGUGGUACAGCACCUGCUUAGCAUGCACAAGGCCCUGGGUUCAAUCCCCAAUACCUUC